RNAcentral lists this ribosomal RNA (453 nucleotides) under Entrophospora infrequens. RNAcentral's name for it is "LSU rRNA". It matches the Rfam family "Eukaryotic large subunit ribosomal RNA", at positions 358 to 668 of the family's 3401-position model. The record is from RNAcentral. Lineage: Eukaryota; Fungi; Glomeromycota; Glomeromycetes; Entrophosporales; Entrophosporaceae.
GGAAAGAUGAAAAGAACUUUGAAAAGAGAGUUAAACAGUACGUGAAAUUGUUGAAAGGGAAACGAUUGAAGUCAGUCGUGCUGGCGCGAAAUCAACCCUCUCAUCGGGAGAUCACAUGUUGUGGCGAGCCUCAAAACCGCCACAGCGUGUGAUCUCACGAUGAGGGGGAGCACUUUUGUGUCCGCUGGUUAACAUCAAUUUCGAACGUCAUAAAAAGGCUGGAGGGAUGUGGCUCCUUCGGGAGUGUUAUAACCUUUAGCGGAAUGUGGUGGUCGGGAUUGAGGAUUGCAACGAAUACCCUCGGGGCUGUUCCACCUGGCCUCUCAUUGGCAUCCUGGUGACGACAGCUUGCUGACGUCGUCAGGAUCCGCCUCUGAACAGGCUAGAGUGUGAGCAAAUUCGUUAAGGAUGUUAACGUAAUGGCUUUAAACGACCGUCUUGAAACACGGACCA